Molecule: long non-coding RNA, 2758 nt
Filed under: Setaria viridis
Lineage: Eukaryota; Viridiplantae; Streptophyta; Magnoliopsida; Poales; Poaceae
Description: long non-coding RNA (SVIR_LNC006203)
Source: RNAcentral
CACGAACACCUUCAGCUUCCCCACCGGGUUGUCGUCAAGCACGCCGCCGGCGGCCCCUGCUCACAUCGUUCGUUCAUUCAGGUUAGUAAAUCGUCUCGCAUGCAGUUCUUUCUGCACAAGUACUGUUUGAAUGUUAAGCUUUUAUAACAUGCUGUAAUGAUUUGAACUGUCUUGAGCAAUGCAAUGAUCAGGGAAUUCGCCCUAGUACCCUACAUACUCUGAAAAGGUUCUUUCUUCAGGAAUAAACGAAUUCAUGUAGCUGAUAUUAUCAAUAUUCAAUGCACUGUGCUAAAAUAUGCAGAGUGGUCAGAUCUUUACAGAACAAGUUUCAGUACUAACAGGGUUUCAGAUUUCAGAAAAGGCAAACACAGAGAUGUUUCAGUUAAUGAUGCAAGAAAUCACUAGUGAUGGGUACAAUUGUUGGUGGAGUCGUUGCUUUCGGCAGUCCACCAACCACGAAAUUUGAACUUUAAUCAAUAAAAUACCGAUCCCUUUCAAGUGGUCUCUACUUUAACGAUACGUUGUUCUUAUCCCUUUCUUUAUCGGUACUAAUCUGGUCGUUAGCAUGUCCGGUUCAAGGGAAAAAAAAUCGUUUGAAAGCGCCAGUGGUCAGUUGAGUGAGUGGAUGGCCACCGCUCGAUCUAGCUGCCACUUAUCCUUUCUUUAUAGUUAUACCACUUCAAGCUCUUGCAUAGUUGCAUUGCAGGCCCUAAAAUGCAGCUAAUUAAAUUAAACCCAAUCUUGCUGGUGCCGCGCCACACUACAGUAGUUCUCCCCGCAAGAGAUGCCUAUUCUGGAAGCUGUUGCUUCGUGGACGCGUGACUGCGAAGAAGAUGGUACAGAGCUAGAGAUCUGAACCAUCAUCCACACUGAUGAUGAUGCGAUGCAAUGUAGGAUCAGGGAAAGCUACGAAGCAAAGCAAUGAAGCAUGAUGCAAUGCAAUGGCCGCUUCAAAACAAUUGAUGCAAUGCAAUGGUUUAAGCUUCACUUCAGCAACCAAUUAAUCUGUUGCAGAAAGCAAUGCUAAGCAAGCACUGCUUGAUCCAUUGCAGACGCAGGCAUUUUACUCCUACAGUAAUGCUAGUGGUUACUAGUUGCUGGCUUGCUGCUACCAGAGCAGGUACAGCUCUGUACAGUUGGUGUGAGGGCAGCGGCCACAUGGUGGAUCACAGGGGCGCGAGCCGCACACGGCAGCCGGUUAGAGACAGCCACCACGAUUGAUUGAUCCCAGAAGAGGCUGUUGAUUCCCAGCUGCGUGCGCGGCGGUGGAAGCCAGAGCCAAGCGGCGUCCGCCGGGGGUAGGGAGGGACCAUCGGAAUGCGGUGGCAGCGAGCACGAAACCCGGAUCAAAAUCGAAGCGUGAGCUGUCGGGCGCACGGAUCACAACCUCACAGGGCGGCGAGCCGCGAGCCAGCGCAACCAAUUCCGUCCAAACCAGGCGGCGGCGGCGGCGGCGGCAUUGCAGUUUGGAGGCGGCGGGACUGCCAAAUCUGAAUCUCGAGGGGGGCACCCUCGCGCGCCCGCCGGCCGCGAGCGAAUUCAAAAUCUAGGAGGAGGAUGCGAAGCGGGCGGCGCGUACCUGAGAUCCUUGCGCGCUCGUGCUGCUGCCGCUGCGGCGGCGCCGCCGCGGCGACGCAGGAGACGACGAGCAGAACCGCGGCGGCCGCCGCCGCGGCGGGCCACGGCCUCCGGCCCCGCCCCAUUGGCCUUGAUCCUGCCGCGGGCGCCGCCCCGGAGUUGACCGAAUCAAGCAGCUAGCGGCUAGCGCUCUCCCCUCCUGCUCGUGCUGCCGCUGCGGCCGUGCGUGUGGAGCUCGAGCGCCGGGCGGCAGCGAAGUGGUGCCGGGAUACUUGUCGCUGGGGAGCGCUUUGUCGUCGUCCUCCGCUGUGCCUGUGCUGGUAGGCUGUCGUUGUCAGGCCCCGAUGGCGCGGCCCGUGGAGGGGAGGGGAGUAGUAGAAUAGGAGGUGAGGAGGCGGGGUAGUCAAGGCCGCGGCGACGGCGAGCCAAUGGAGGGGGUGCAGCUGCGGAAUUGGAAGCGGAAUCUGCUGCUGGUGCUCUCGCACGCACGCAGGCACGCAGGGAGAGAGCGAGCUGGCGGGGGAAGAAGAGGAGAAAAGAAAAAGGAAAAGGAGGAGAGGGUGCAGCGCAGCAGCUACAUGGCUCGCACGCGGCGGGUGGCGUGAUACGAAAACAAGGGGGGCGCGCGGGGCGACCCGACCGACCGGGUCCGCGUCCGAGGCCAAACCAAUUGCUUCUUGCAAAGGCUUAUCGGCUCGGCAUGUGCUCGUGCUACGCAGUUGCUAGGAGCAGCAGGCAGGCCCAACUUGCGUCGCUAAUCAUGUGGCCAGGGCCAGGCUUGAGUAACCAAGUCACCCUACGCACCUGCGCUAAUCAUGUUUGCUUGCUACAGCGAUGCAGCCUCCUUUUGGGUACCGUUCCUGCUGUAUUUUUUUAAUUGUAAAGUCUGAUGAAUAAAAGCGAUAAUGUUAGAGAUGGGCUAACGAUUUUUUUUUUAUACGUUCGUAGAAAUGAGCUGCACGCGUUGGAGCUGGACACACGACGCCCCUCGAGAGCCAAACCUUUGCUGUAAACACGAAUCAGUGCAGCAAACCCUUGGCUCCCUGAGUAAUCGAGUCAGCAGCCAGCACAGGCUACGGCGAUCAUGUUUAGAUUCCAUGGCCGCUAAGACAGGAACGUAUUUUGAACGUAGUGCUGGACUGAAGCAUCUUUGGAAAUGGCUUUUAGAUUCCAUGUUUGU